GAUGAUGGACAGAGGCAGGUUUGAUGCCUUGAUUGUGGCCUGCAAGCAAGUCAGUGCUUCAUGAGUAUGUAGUGACACGUUGUGCUGCUGUUAGGGGCCUUACCCGGCAGAACCUCUCAUUGAAGUUGUGUUGGACAACUUCAUCCAUGACUUUAUUAACCUCUGCAACAAAAUCCCGGUCCCAGGCAUCCCGCUGCUUGCGUCCCUCGGCGAGUAUGUCAUCCUUGCUCUUCUUGCUUGAUUUUAAGUUUGCACUUCUCUCUCCUGGGAAGCUGUGGGGUUCCAAGGGAAGAAGGAACAAGGCAAUUCCCAGGUUGUCAUGCUUAUGCUUUUAAGGGCAACAACAUCAGCUUUAAACCAGCCAUCUGGCAAAAAAGAAAAGAAAANNNNNNNNNNNNNNNNNNNNNNNNNNNNNNNNNNNNNNNNNNNNNNNNNNCACGAUGCGAUUGUAGUGUUCGUGGACCGGCUGAGCAAAAUGACGCACUUUGCUCCCACACACACAACCGCUACAGCUGAAGAUGUAGCCCGCCUCUUUGUGGCUACCGUCUUCAGGCAGCACGGCCUUCCAAAGAACAUUAUUUCAGACCGGGACUCUCGCUUCACAAGUAAUUUCUGGAAGGAAACAUUUCGCCUGUUGGGCACCCACCUCUAUAUGAGCACAGCUUUUCACCCGCAAACAGACGGGCAAACGGAACGCAUGAAUCGCGUGCUGGAAGAGACACUCAGGCACUACAUAUCACCCACUCAAGAUGAUUGGGAUGAGCAUUUGCCACUGAUUGAGUUUGCCAUAAACAACUCAAAACAGAAGGCAACGGGGACAACUCCGUUUUCCCUGAAUGGUGUUCGACAACCACGUGUGCCGGUUGACCUUCACCUCAAAACUAAGGUGCCACUCGGGGAAAGACUUGGUCAUGGAUGGGUUUUCCAGUCAUGGAUUUGGUCAUGGAUGCGGUCAUGGAUCCGGUCAUAAUUUGUCAUUAAGUCAUGGAUCCGGUCAUGGAUCAGUUCAUAGUUUGCAUAAGCAAGUGCAGGAUAUGACUGGUUGGGGUCAUGAAAUGCAUGGUCAUGAUGUCAUUUAUGAUGGGAUUUAUGACAGGUCAUGGGACCGCAAUGACCGUAUUCAGUCAUGGCUGCACUUUAUGACCCCAUGAGGUCAUAAAGGUGGUCAUGUACCUGCUCAUAAAUAUGCGGAACAUGACCAGGUCAUAUUGCGCAUGGUAUUCCAUGACGCAACAAUGCAGGCCAUGACCACCCUGGCCCAUGUUUUGCACUCAUUCCAUGAGUCGUACACUGCACUCCAUGACCACCCUGGCCCAUGUUUUGCUUGGUUUACAUGACUCGUACACUGCAUUCCAUGACCACAUUGGCACAUGUUUUACAUUGUUUACAUGACUCAUACACUGCACUCCAUGACCACCCCUGGCCCAUGUUUUGCACACAUCUCAGAAGUUGUUCACUGUGGGCUUAUAAGUCAUGACCAGCAACCCAUCAAUAUGUGGGCUCCAGACUCCAAGUCUGCUAUCACAAAUAAAUGUAUGUACUCCAACACUCCACACCGUUAAGGUGACAAACCUCAAUGUUUCAGUGGAUCACUCAGGUAAAUCACCCACCAGUAGCAUCCUAUAGAGUAAGCCGGAUUACCUGCAGCUCAACUACAUUCCUGAACCACAACUGCCUUCCAUUAUCAAUAUCAUAACUAUGAACUUCACUCCUUGCAGGUCUCAAUCCGUAAACCUCCAGGGACUUAAGUGUGUGCAUUAGUAGUAAUGCCUGACCUCAUACAUUUCUCUAUAUGCCACCAAGCCAUCUAUUACAGGCCACAAAGAUUGUCAACUCCAGCAUCCUGCUGCAUGCCUGCUAACCCACCGCCUUGCACUUCCCCAGCAGUCUCUUCCUUGCUGGCCCCUGCUGGCCACCUUUGCCCAGCUUGGCUGCUUCUUUCACUGCACCUGCCCUGGCAGCUUGUUUCACUGCAGCAAGCUCAGCCCGCAUCUGGUGAGCAGUGAUGGCGGUGCACCACGUGGUUUCAUGGUCAGGCAUCCCAUAUGCACCACCACCAGUGCCACCCGUCGCCAUGGUGUCCCCAUACUCUGCGAUGACAUCGUCAAGUCUCUCGCCAAUCAGGUCCUCCAGGUAGUCACCCUCUGGCUCACAACCAGCUGGCCCCAUAAUUGUUUUGCCAGCAAUCACAGCCGCCUCCGGUGCAGCCAUGGCCAUCUGAGCUGAGACCUGCUAGCAGAACAUCAAGAUGUGAGCAUAUGUAAGGCCCCAAAUGCAUGAUACUGGUGCCCUGCAAUGUUCAGGAACCUACAAGCAACUGCAUGACAUGUGCCAUGGAUACAUCCACAACGACAUGUCAUAAUACAUCAUGUCAUAACCCAUACCCCGCGUACCUGCUGCUGCUUUGGUGGCACCACUGUUCAUCGCACCCAUCAUGACGGCUGGGGCCGUGGCAGGGGUCUGGCCAGAUCCCUGCAAAUGCAGCAUAAGGGCCAAAUUCAUAUAGUCUGUUGGAAUAAUAGUUUAGCAGCUGGAGGGAUGCUCGGGGGGCCCUUCCUCAUCCAUUCACCUGGACAUCCGAAGAGACGGAGGGUUCAGAAAUCACCACCUAUCCAGCGUGCGAACCUGACCAAUCAACUUUAAUCCUCCACAUCUCAGCAGCUAGCUUACCCUCGUUCCCCCGAACUUGGGAAAUCUCCCCGGGAAUUGAACCCAGGAUCAUAAACCGCUAACACAGUAGAGUCAGCCCACAACUAUUUAACAUGGAUGAUGGACAGAGGCAGGUUUGAUGCCUUGAUUGUGGCCUGCAAGCAAGUCAGUGCUUCAUGAGUAUGUAGUGACACGUUGUGCUGCUGUUAGGGGCCUUACCCGGCAGAACCUCUCAUUGAAGUUGUGUUGGACAACUUCAUCCAUGACUUUAUUAACCUCUGCAACAAAAUCCCGGUCCCAGGCAUCCCGCUGCUUGCGUCC
This 2970-nucleotide long non-coding RNA is filed under the name Volvox carteri. RNAcentral describes it as "long non-coding RNA (VCAR_LNC003833)". The record is from RNAcentral. Lineage: Eukaryota; Viridiplantae; Chlorophyta; Chlorophyceae; Chlamydomonadales; Volvocaceae.